AUUGAACGCUGGCGGCAUGCCUUACACAUGCAAGUCGAACGGCAGCACGGGAGCAAUCCUGGUGGCGAGUGGCGAACGGGUGAGUAAUAUAUCGGAACGUGCCCAAUCGUGGGGGAUAACGUAGCGAAAGACUACGCUAAUACCGCAUACGAUCUAUGGAUGAAAGCGGGGGAGUCGCAAGACCUCGCGCGAUUGGAGCGGCCGAUAUCAGAUUAGGUAGUUGGUGGGGUAAAGACCUACCAAGCCUUCGAUCUGUAGCUGGUCUGAGAGGACGACCAGCCACACUGGAACUGAGACACGGUCCAGACUCCUACGGGAGGCAGCAGUGGGGGAAUUUUGGACAAUGGGCGCAAGCCUGAUCCAGCAAUGCCGCGUGCAGGAUGAAGGGCCCUUCGGGUUGUAACUAGCUUUUGUUACGGAACGAAACGGUUACGUUUCUAAUUAAAAGAAGGGGACUAAUAGACGGUACCGUAAGAAUAAG
RNAcentral lists this ribosomal RNA (481 nucleotides) under uncultured bacterium. RNAcentral describes it as "bacterial SSU rRNA". It matches the Rfam family "Bacterial small subunit ribosomal RNA", at positions 30 to 490 of the family's 1533-position model. The record is from RNAcentral.